Molecule: long non-coding RNA, 4334 nt
Organism: Oxyura jamaicensis (ruddy duck)
Lineage: Eukaryota; Metazoa; Chordata; Aves; Anseriformes; Anatidae
Exons: 2
Source: RefSeq, a predicted model, not a curated record
GACAGGUAAAUGAAAUUUUGAAGAUUUUUUAGAACGUAAGAUAUACAUUUAUCAAAUUUACAAGUGUAAAGGGUAAAUAUAUGCAGCCCUGUAAUUCAAGAUAAUACUUCCAAAUAAGAGGGAUAUGUUGUAAGAUAGUGGAUUUCAGUGUGUUUCAUUCUGUGAAUCUGCCUCCUAUGAGAGACAAAUGCAGUCUCAUUUUUGUUAUUUCUGUUAAAUGGCAAAUAGGAACUAAGAGGAUGAGGGCAAGAUGUAGAGGAGCUGUAAAGAGCAUGGACAGGUGUUACUUUCCAGUAGUGAAUUUAUUCUUUUGAAAGUGCAUAUGUAGGUUAUGGAAAAAACAGCAAAGGAAAAGCAGAUGGGUAACUUAGAGUUUUUUCUUUUUUUUCCAUCUUUUUUUUUUUUUUUGAGUUGCUCAAGUGUAACACAGUAUUAGUUAGGGUACGAGCAACAUUAUGAAAAGCCUGAACUGCAAAUGGUGGACCAAAAUUGACAGUAUACAGAGUAGAAAGGGUAUCUAAAUUGGUGUUCCGAGAUCAGUGUUGGCUCUGGAUUUACUUACUUCCUUGUUACGGGUCAUUAAUGAUGUUAAGCAACACUUUAAUUAGAUUUUCAAACAUAAGAUGUGAAGUGAUUAGAAAUUGAGGAAAAAUUACUAGAACGUACAGGGAAGAACAACACGAGAUUCGGUUUGAUAAAAUGCAGGGUACAAAUGCCUCCCUCGCCUAGUGAUGAAAAGAAACCUUAAAAGGGAAAACAUUAAAAGAGUGAUAAGUAACGCCAGCCACGCUAAUGGAGGAUUGUUAACAUUAUUAAUCCAACAUCUAAAAACGAGGAUGUAACAAUGUUAAGGUUUCGUGCAGUCCUUCGAGUGCAUGUACGUUACGACUUGUUUGUUGGUAAUAUGGACAGAGGAUUCCCCUGACCCUCAAUACGGUUCAUUUCCAGCACAUAGAAGGGAUGAGUAGACUUACGGUGUUUUGUUUUUGUUCUUUUCUGGGAGGACCCAGGCCCUAUUUAGAUUUUACUUAAGCAGUGUUCCUCGUUUCUUCAGAGGUUUGCUCUUUGGUGUUAUCAUUGCAGCUUGGCAAGUUGAGUGUUAGGAAACUCUGUGAGUGGGUUACCUUCUCAUCUGCAAUGUGGAAUGCAGUCCUGUAAGGUGUCCAGCAUACUUUUGAACUGUAUGAAAUGUGCCAUCCAAAUAGUGGUCCCUUCCUUUGAUAGUAAGACGCAAAGUACACAAUUUGAUAGUCCAUUUUCACAAAGACGGACGAAUUGGUUAGAAUCCAGAGCAGAGUCUCAGGAUGCUUAACAGGUUAGUUGAUUUUGGCUUUCUGAGAAGAACAGAACUGAACUAAGUAUAUAAAGCUUGCUAAGUCAUGUAUAUAUAGUUUGCUAACUCAUUAAGUGAGCGUGGAAAGUGAUAGCUGUGUACAAAUAUUUUGGGACUGUGAUUCUAAGAGGAAAUGCUGACUGUCAUACAAGGGGGCUAUAAGUAGAAUGAAUCGUGACAAUAUGACAGGAGGAAUUUAGGGUAAGUAUUUAGAAAAAUCUGCAGAUCAUUCUUAAGAAACUGAGAACAUUGCAACGGGAAAGUUCUGAAAAACAUCUGAAGUUUGAAAAACAGAAUUGGAAAACUCAGUCAAUAUUUUGUAAGUAAGAAAUGUACAAGUUUACUAGCCUGUUUUUGUUGUUGUUUUUCUGUCUCUGGUUUAAAACAACGUGUGCUGCUAGCCAAGGAAUCUGCAUUUUGUUCUGGUCUUCCCAAUGAGUCAGUCCCUUCAGAACAUCUCUUUGCAUCUUGCUUUCUAAAGUUAAAGGGAACCCAUACCGUGGUUGCCCUUGCUCAAGGGGAAGCCAUUUUGAAGAGCUCUGUCAUCAAAUUUAGCAGUGCAGCAGGCUGUUGCUGCAGGAGACACGUAGGUGACUUCUGAUACCUGCCAUUGUGGCUACUUAAAUCUCGGGGUACUUUGGUUACAAACAUACAGGAGGUUUCUGCAAUAGACGUAUAUGGAGAGGGAUGGUUCUUACUAGAUGCUAAGAUUCAGAAGUUACCAUUACGCAAUAUGUGUUGAUAUAACUCCCAGUGAUGAAACACUUCCAUUGCCUCUUUCACGUUUAUUUACAGGUAGCUCGAGUAUUAGCUCCGGAUACUCUGCCAAAAGCAAGGCAAAAGAAGAGAAGUUCAGUAUUGCUCCAGUACCUGUUACUGGCUGUCUCUUACCACUUCAUUUGGGUCAGCAGCCAGAAAAUAGCUCAUCUUUCUUCCAUAGCCAGGAUCAUCAGCUUUAUUUUCUGACAGUGGCUGUUCAUUUGUAUUGUUUCAGAGCUGAUAUAUUGUCCCUUUUUGAAAUUAGGAUAGUGGGAGUCCGGGAAGUGCUUCGGCUUUAGGGGUUUCUUUUUUUGGCAGCCGAAGGUAGCAGUGCCAGCAGUAGUCUCCAGCCUGCUUGAUUGGGGGAGUUAAAUCUGGAUGUCUUGUUGGGAGGGCCUUACAUCACCAUGAGAGAACUCCUCUUCAGCUAUUUCUGCAAAAGUUCAUCUGUCCUCUUAAGCUUUUGGGACUGUUAUAUUUUAGACUGCACUUGCUGGUCAGCAAAUGACACUUAAAUGAACUCUGGUCCUGCUCCUCUCCCUUACCUAAACCGUCUGUCUUCCCUCUCAUUCACACUCAAACGUGGAAUCCUUUUAAAGCCUGGAAAAGAAAAAUCUGGGUUGUGAUCCACAGGGCACAGCUAACAGGGUAGGGCCACUUAGGGAGUAAAAAGGCAAACUGACAUAAGAAUGGGGCUAGAUGGACUUUAGUUCUAAUAUGCCCAAUAUCCUCCCUCCAGCAGGGAAAGAGAAGAAGCAAAAUAAGGAUACUGUGUGCUGCAGUAUUUUCCUGGCUUUCACAAACUUCUGCAGAUAAAGUUAGCUUGCCAGUUGACUUUUUUGCUUCAAAUGGAUUUCCUUUCCUUUCACUACUCAUCUUUUCACCGUUCUCUGUUAAUGUACAGACUCCUGCCAAGUAUUUCAAACUAUCAUUAUAUGUAGGAUAAGCUGUAGGACCAUGAGCCUGUAUUAUAGUAACCGUAAGAUUUUUGCAGCAAAUUGUAAACAGGUGCACGUUUCACCAAAGUGAUUGAGGCUCUUCAAGGUUCUUGAACGUCUUCCAUUUUCUUAAUCAGAUUUAGUUUCAUUGCUGCAUGUGUUGACGGCUUAAGGCAUUAAGUCAUCAGACUUUUCAGCUGUACUUUUCAGCUGAACUGGUUUCGUUCUCUUCUGUGGGCAGGCCAAGGACUGAGCUUUGGACUUUCUGUUGUGUAUUGUAUCUAGAUGUAAAACAUAUAAUUAAUAGAGAUUCAUUCAAACCAUGCCGAGCAGUUGUUGCUACUGAGCUUCUUUAGACCUGAGUCUUGCUGUGAGUAAUUUCCCAUGACCAAGGUUAACGUAUCUCCCUUGCAUGUCAUGAAAAAUUGGCUUUUCUCUGACUUUGUUCAUCUCCACAGCUGAAAGAGAGCGGAAAACGGAGCAAUGGAUAAAUGGGACGGAAAAAAAUAAAGAUGAUGUUUUUCAGCUAAACCUGUGGGGCUUGAAAGUUUUUUGAAUUCUUAAUUUGUGAAUCAAAUUCCUUUUCCUCAGAGCACGUUUGAGCAAACGAAACACAAACAGCAAGUUGGAGCUCAUUCAGACAUUAUCUUUGCUAGGAAAAAAGAUCUGCAAAAAAAGAAAGCAACAAGCCCAUGUAUCAAAUUCUAAGCUGAUCAUCUAUCAGCACGUCUUUUUAAACCAUUUUGGCUUGACUUUUAAAGGAAGCAUCCUUUAGCAGAAAGCUAGAUUAAAUUGUUGGUCACAGGUUUCUGCUGCUGACUGUGGAGGAGUUGGAAGAGCCUUCUUAUUCUGAAAUUUCUUCUUGAGCUGGACCAGAAGUAAAUUGUUCAAGCUCUAGAACAGAGAAUCAGGUUGUUGGAUUUAUUUUCCUAGAGCAGUUCUUCCUUCCUCAUUCUCUUACCCAUGCCAUCUGAUAUAAUCUAACCCAAAGCCAAAAGUAGUCUUUAUCCUUUUUGGGGUCAUCCCACGUCAGCUGUCAGGUAGGAAAAGUUGAAAAUACACAUUCUAAACCUUUCUUUUUUUCUGUUGUGUUUUUGGUGGUAUACUUACCUAUCGCAGCAGACGGACAAACCCCAUCAUUACGUGAGCAAAUUAAAUUGUAAAUUUCACUAAUGGUGCCAAAUGUCUGACAAGAUGAAUGAAUUUAUAUUCAGAGAAACCUGGAUAAGAGAUUUAAGUAAACUUUUCUUCAAAGCUCUGCUGCGACUGAUAAUCAGAACAGAUGCAUUAAAACACAAGAGGAA